Molecule: non-coding RNA, 71 nt
Organism: Danio rerio (zebrafish)
Lineage: Eukaryota; Metazoa; Chordata; Actinopteri; Cypriniformes; Danionidae
Source: Rfam
GCAUUGGUAGUUCAGUGCUAGAAUUCUCGCCUGCCACGCGGGAGACCCGGGUCCGAUUCCCGGCCAAUGCA